This 90-nucleotide transfer RNA is filed under the name Lactobacillus crispatus 214-1. Its description in RNAcentral is "tRNA-Leu". It matches the Rfam family "tRNA". Rfam says of the family: Transfer RNA (tRNA) molecules are approximately 80 nucleotides in length. The record is from RNAcentral. Lineage: Bacteria; Bacillati; Bacillota; Bacilli; Lactobacillales; Lactobacillaceae.
UGGCGGUGUGGCGGAAUUGGCAGACGCGUCAGACUCAAAAUCUGGUGUCCAUUACGGACGUAUCGGUUCGACCCCGAUCACCGCUAUUAU